GGCGGUAUGCUUACACAUGCAAGUCGAACGAAAGUUUUAACUUUAGUGGCGAACGGGUGCGUAAUACGUGAGAAUCUGCCCUUAGGAGGAGAAUAACUUCUGGAAACGGUUGCUAAGUCUCCAUAUGCCGAGAGGUGAAAUAGUUUAGACUGCCUAGGGAUGAGCUCACGCCUGAUUAGCUUGUUGGUGAGGUAAUGGCUCACCAAGGCCACGAUCAGUAGCUGGUUUGAGAGAACGAUCAGCCACACUGGGACUGAGACACGGCCCAGACUCCUCCGGGAGGCAGCAGUGAGGAAUUUUCCGCAAUGGGCGAAAGCCUGACGGAGCAAUACCGCGUGAGGGAUGAAGGAUUUUGGUCUGUAAACCUCUUUUCUCAAGAAAGAAGUUCUGACGGUACUUGAGGAAUAAGCAUCGGCUAACUCCGUGCCAGCAGCCGCGGUAAUACGGGGGAUGCAAGCGUUAUCCGGAAUCAUUGGGCGUGAAGCGCCUGUANGUUGUUUAAUAAGUCUGUUGUUAAAGACCAGGGCUUAACCCUGGGAAAGCAAUGGAAACUACUAGACUAGAGUAUGAUAGGGGUAGAGGGAAUCUCUAGUGUA
Molecule: ribosomal RNA, 596 nt
Filed under: uncultured bacterium
Lineage: Bacteria
Description: bacterial SSU rRNA
Rfam family: Bacterial small subunit ribosomal RNA
Source: RNAcentral